CAAAGAAGGACGUGGUUACCAAGUAUCCCUACCAUGAAGUCAAGGCUGGAUUUGGGUCAGAUUUUGUGUCUGCUGAAGUGUAUGGGCACAUACUUCAGUGGCUUGGGCAAUCCUUGACACGCCGUCUAGUGAGAGAUAAACGUCGCCCUUACACUAAGUCAGUG
Haliotis rufescens (red abalone) is the source of this 164-nucleotide long non-coding RNA. RefSeq lists it as uncharacterized. NCBI's taxonomy places the organism in Eukaryota, Metazoa, Mollusca, Gastropoda, Lepetellida, Haliotidae. The transcript has 3 exons. The record is from RefSeq and is a predicted model, not a curated record.